RNAcentral lists this ribosomal RNA (891 nucleotides) under uncultured bacterium. RNAcentral's name for it is "bacterial SSU rRNA". It matches the Rfam family "Bacterial small subunit ribosomal RNA", at positions 90 to 983 of the family's 1533-position model. The record is from RNAcentral.
GACGACCGGCGCACGGGUGCGUAACGCGUAUAGAACCUACCUUAUAUUGGGGGAUAGCCCAGAGAAAUUUGGAUUAAUACCCCAUAGUAUGCUGAAUUGGCAUCAGUUUAGUAUUAAAGAUUUAUCGAUAUAAGAUGGCUAUGCGUUCUAUUAGCUAGUUGGUAAGGUAACGGCUCACCAAGGCGACGAUAGAUAGGGGUCCUGAGAGGGAGAUCCCCCACACUGGUACUGAGACACGGACCAGACUCCUACGGGAGGCAGCAGUGAGGAAUAUUGGACAAUGGAGGCAACUCUGAUCCAGCCAUGCCGCGUGCAGGAAGACUGCCCUAUGGGUUGUAAACUGCUUUUAUAGAGGAAGAAACCGCUCUACGUGUAGAGCUCUGACGGUACUCUACGAAUAAGGAUCGGCUAACUCCGUGCCAGCAGCCGCGGUAAUACGGAGGAUCCAAGCGUUAUCCGGAAUCAUUGGGUUUAAAGGGUCCGUAGGCGGGCUUAUAAGUCAGUGGUGAAAGUUUGCGGCUCAACCGUAAAAUUGCCAUUGAUACUGUAGGUCUUGAAUCAUUGUGAAGUGGUUAGAAUGUGUAGUGUAGCGGUGAAAUGCAUAGAUAUUACACAGAAUACCGAUUGCGAAGGCAGAUCACUAACAAUUGAUUGACGCUCAGGGACGAAAGCGUGGGUAGCGAACAGGAUUAGAUACCCUGGUAGUCCACGCCGUAAACGAUGGUUACUAGCUGUUUGGACUUCGGUCUGAGUGGCUAAGCGAAAGUGAUAAGUAACCCACCUGGGGAGUACGUUCGCAAGAAUGAAACUCAAAGGAAUUGACGGGGCCCGCACAAGCGGUGGAGCAUGUGGUUUAAUUCGAUGAUACGCGAGGAACCUUACCAGGCUUAA